This 1041-nucleotide long non-coding RNA is filed under the name Calidris pugnax (ruff). RNAcentral describes it as "lncRNA (ENSCPUG00000009724.1)". Lineage: Eukaryota; Metazoa; Chordata; Aves; Charadriiformes; Scolopacidae. The record is from RNAcentral.
AACGCCUUCCCCAUUUGGAAAGUUUACAUCUUUAGUGUCAGAGCUGUGGACGCAUUGUAGGCUUUUGUUGUUAUAUUACUUAAUUUCACACUAUUUCAUGCAGUCGCUGGUGACAACGUGGAAGGACCAUGCCCUUCUCCAUCUGGUGGCAAUGUGGAAGGACCAUGCCCUUCUCCAGCCAGAGCGGCCAGUGGUGCCUUUGUUGACUGCAAGGACACCUUUCAGUGAAGAUGUUGAUGAUGACAGUGCCAGCCCUGGCUGCUUGCCACCUGGACCACAGGCCACCACAGGUAAAAUCUGUCACCACUUCCUUCUGCUCCCCAAGCAAUCCUGGCCUGGGUGACUUCUCUGAUGUGUUGGUAACAAGAGACAGCUCUUCAGGAGAGUGAUGACUCUGGGGGACGUUCCAGCACAAACAACCCUGAUGAUGAAGUGAGUGAAACACCGAGAGCUUCUUCAACGAGGUGCUGAGAAACAAGUAGGAACAUCCAACCAUCUCCAUACCCACUGGUGUUCAUGAUCUUAAAAUAUGAAGAGCUUGUGCAGCUGGAAGAUGGCAUGGGGCUGGAGGCUCUGGGCACCUGCAAUGAGUGGUGAGCGAGGAGGAGGCACCAUCGCAGGGGUGGAGGAAGGUCAGGAAUGUCCCUCCAUGCUGGGAGUCAUCAUCAGUGCUGUGUCCUGCUGUUAAUCUCCUCCUCUCUGCUCACCGUUGCUUCUGAGUAAAUUACUGCAAGGUAAACAUUCCCUUUGAACGUUAAUAGCAAAUAACCCAUGAAAAACCUCUAGUCUGAAGAAUGUUGGAAUUGGAUGAAAAUCAGUUCUGCUUUUCCAUCCACUAGCUGGCAUUUAAUUCAGGGAAGGGCACGAGUUAGUAUUUUCCCAGGCUGCUGAGGAAAAUAACUGGAAAACUGGCAUUUUGCAGUCAGGAAGUCUGAGGUUGGAUCAUAGGAGAAGCGUGCUUUUUGAUGGGAAGAUCUGAGAUAAGUCAGCCAGGGAAAUGGUGGGAAUAAAUCUUAUGAAGAGUGGUUGAAGGAGCUGGGA